GCGCAGCAGGCGCGAAUACUUUACAAUGUGCGAAAGCACGAUAAGGGAACUCUGAGUGCCUCCUAAGGAGGCUGUUCAGGUGUCUAAAAGCACCUGGAGUAAGGGCUGGGUAAGACCGGUGCCAGCCGCCGCGGUAACACCGGCAGCCCAGGUGGUAGCCACUUUUAUUGGGUCUAAGGCGUCCGUAGCCGGUUGAGUAAGUUCCUUGGGAAAUUUGGCUGCUCAACAGUCAAGCUUCCAGGGAAUACUGCUCGACUUGGGACUGGGAGAGGUCAGAGGUACUCCAGGGGUAGGGUGAAAAUCCAUUAAUCCCUGGGGGACCACCGGUAGCGAAGGCGUCUGACCAGACCAGGUCCGACGGUGAGGGACGAAGGCUAGGGUCGCGAACCGGAUUAGAUACCUCCGUAGU
RNAcentral lists this ribosomal RNA (409 nucleotides) under uncultured microorganism. RNAcentral describes it as "bacterial SSU rRNA". It matches the Rfam family "Archaeal small subunit ribosomal RNA", at positions 330 to 745 of the family's 1478-position model. The record is from RNAcentral.